CAAAGAGAAGCAAAGCCGCGAGGUAGAGCAAAUCUCAAAAAAACAAUCUCAGUUCAGACUGCAGGCUGCAACUCGCCUGCACGAAGUCGGAAUUGCUAGUAAUCGUAGGUCAGCAUACUACGGUGAAUACGUUCCCGGGCCUUGUACACACCGCCCGUCAAACCAUGAGAGUUGGCAACACCCGAAGUCGGUAGUCUAACCGCAAGGAGGACGCCGCGAACGGUGGGGUUGAUGAUUAGGGUUAAGUCGUAACAAGGUACC
This 261-nucleotide ribosomal RNA is filed under the name uncultured bacterium. RNAcentral's name for it is "partial 16S ribosomal RNA". It matches the Rfam family "Bacterial small subunit ribosomal RNA", at positions 1240 to 1500 of the family's 1533-position model. The record is from RNAcentral.